RNAcentral lists this ribosomal RNA (494 nucleotides) under uncultured bacterium. RNAcentral describes it as "bacterial SSU rRNA". It matches the Rfam family "Bacterial small subunit ribosomal RNA", at positions 368 to 856 of the family's 1533-position model. The record is from RNAcentral.
GCAGGGACGAAGUCUGACGGAGCACGCCGCGUGAGCGAUGAAGGCCUUCGGGUCGUAAAGCUCUGUUGUUAGGGAAGAACAAGUACCAGAGUAACUGCUCGUACCUUGACGGUACCUAACCAGAAAGCCACGGCUAACUACGUGCCAGCAGCCGCGGUAAUACGUAGGUGGCGAGCGUUAUCCGGAAUUAUUGGGCGUAAAGCGCGCGCAGGCGGUUUCUUAAGUCUGAUGUGAAAGCCCACGGCUCAACCGUGGAGGGUCAUUGGAAACUGGGAAACUUGAGUGCAGAAGAGGAAAGCGGAAUUCCACGUGUAGCGGUGAAAUGCGUAGAGAUGUGGAGGAACACCAGUGGCGAAGGCGGCUUUCUGGUCUGUAACUGACGCUGAGGCGCGAAAGCGUGGGGAGCAAACAGGAUUAGAUACCCUGGUAGUCCACGCCGUAAACGAUGAGUGCUAAGUGUUAGAGGGUUUCCGCCCUUUAGUGCUGAAGUUAAC